RNAcentral lists this ribosomal RNA (933 nucleotides) under uncultured marine bacterium. RNAcentral describes it as "bacterial SSU rRNA". It matches the Rfam family "Bacterial small subunit ribosomal RNA", at positions 56 to 1033 of the family's 1533-position model. The record is from RNAcentral.
UGCAAGUCGAACGCAGUAGCAAUACUGAGUGGCAAACGGGUGAGUAUAAUGUGGGAAUCUGCCUUUUGGUUUGGAAUAACACGGGGAAACUUGUGCUAAUACCGAAUAAGCCUUUACGGGGAAAGUUUUAAUGCCGAAAGAUGAGCCCGCACUUGAUUAGCUAGUUGGUAAGGUAAAAGCUUACCAAGGCAAUGAUCAAUAGCUGUUCUUAGAGGAAGACCAGCCACAUUGGGACUGAGACACGGCCCAGACUCCUACGGGAGGCAGCAGUGGGGAAUCUUGCACAAUGGGGGAAACCCUGAUGCAGCGAUGCCGCGUGAGUGAAGAAGGCCUUUGGGUUGUAAAACUCUUUCGUCGGGGAAGAAAAUGACUGUACCCGAAUAAGAAGGUCCGGCUAACUUCGUGCCAGCAGCCGCGGUAAUACGAAGGGACCUAGCGUAGUUCGGAAUUACUGGGCUUAAAGAGCUCGUAGGUGGUUAAAAAAGUUGAUGGUGAAAUCCCAAGGCUUAACCUUGGAACUGCCAUCAAAACUUUUUAGCUAGAGUGUGAUAGAGGUAAGUGGAAUUUCUAGUGUAGAGGUGAAAUUCGUAGAUAUUAGAAAGAACACCAAAUGCGAAGGCAACUUACUGGGUCACUACUGACACUGAGGAGCGAAAGCAUGGGUAGCGAAGAGGAUUAGAUACCCUCGUAGUCCAUGCCGUAAACGAUGUGUGCUAGACGUUGGAAAUAUAUUUCUCAGUGUCGCAGCGAAAGCAUUAAGCACACCGCCUGGGGAGUACGACCGCAAGGUUAAAACUCAAAUGAAUUGACGGGGACCCGCACAAGCAGUGGAGCAUGUGGUUUAAUUCGAGGAUACGCGCAGAACCUUACCAACACUUGACAUGUUCGUCGCGAGCCUAAGAGAUUAGGCUUUUCAGUUUGGCUGGACGAAAC